UGAGGAAUCUUGCGCAAUGGGGGCAACCCUGACGCAGCAACGCCGCGUGAGUGAGGAAGGUCUUCGGAUCGUAAAGCUCUGUCAGUUGGGAAGAAAUGCCUGAGGGUCAAUACCCUUCUGGCUUGACGGUACCAACAGAGGAAGCACCGGCUAACUCCGUGCCAGCAGCCGCGGUAAUACGGGGGGUGCAAGCGUUGUUCGGAAUUAUUGGGCGUAAAGAGCGUGUAGGCGGCAAGAUGUGUCAGAUGUGAAAGCCCUGGGCUUAACUCAGGAAGUGCAUUUGAAACUAUCUGGCUUGAGUAGGGGAGAGGGAAGUGGAAUUCCUGGUGUAGAGGUGAAAUUCGUAGAUAUCAGGAGGAACACCGGUGGCGAAGGCGACUUCCUGGCCCUAUACUGACGCUGAGACGCGAGAGCGUGGGUAGCAAACA
RNAcentral lists this ribosomal RNA (428 nucleotides) under uncultured prokaryote. Its description in RNAcentral is "bacterial SSU rRNA". It matches the Rfam family "Bacterial small subunit ribosomal RNA", at positions 355 to 774 of the family's 1533-position model. The record is from RNAcentral.